RNAcentral lists this ribosomal RNA (598 nucleotides) under Chaetothyriales sp. AR-2010. RNAcentral's name for it is "eukaryotic LSU rRNA". The stretch from base 212 to 365 matches the Rfam family "5.8S ribosomal RNA". The record is from RNAcentral. Lineage: Eukaryota; Fungi; Ascomycota; Eurotiomycetes; Chaetothyriales.
GGAAGUAAAAGUCGUAACAAGGUCUCCGUUGGUGAACCAGCGGAGGGAUCAUUACCGAGUGUAAAAACUCCCAAACCAUUGUGAACCUACCACUGUUGCUUCGGCGGCCUCGCCCCGGGCGCGUUCGCGCGGCCCGGACCCAGGCGUCCGCCGGAGGCUCCAAACUCUUGUCUUUUAGUGUAUUUCUGAGUGGCAUAAGCAAAUAAAUCAAAACUUUCAGCAACGGAUCUCUUGGUUCUGGCAUCGAUGAAGAACGCAGCAAAAUGCGAUAAGUAAUGUGAAUUGCAGAAUUCAGUGAAUCAUCGAAUCUUUGAACGCACAUUGCGCCCGCCAGUAUUCUGGCGGGCAUGCCUGUCUGAGCGUCAUUUCAACCCUCAGGACCCGUUCGCGGGACCUGGCGUUGGGGAUCAGCCUGCCCCUGGCGGCGGCUGGCCCUGAAAUCCAGUGGCGGUUCCCUCGCGAACUCCUCCGUGCAGUAAUUAAACCUCUCGCGGCAGGAUAGCGGUUGAACCACGCCGUUAAACCCCCCACUUCUCAAGGUUGACCUCAGAUCAGGUAGGAAUACCCGCUGAACUUAAGCAUAUCAAUAAGCGGAGGA